GCGGGGGCGUGACGGUUGGCCUGCAUUGCGGCACGCCCCGUAGUAUCGGCACGACUUCGCGGGAAGCGCGCCUCUUUUCUUAGGGGUGCGUGCUGUCCUGGCGCCCCUGAGGGGUGCGGUCGCUGCAUCUCUGAGGUGGAACGCGGCCAUCGAGUCGUGGGGCUUCAGCCAAGGCGGGAAGAGCGCCGAGAUGUGCGUUCAAACGUGGAAAACGGGCAAGAGGCGGGCGGCUGCCGUGUCACGCGUGUCCUGCAUUUCUGCGUCGUGCUGAGUUAAGGAUGAUGCUACAUAGGAGCAUCACCUGAUUCUCGAAGGCAGCUGAAGGCACCAAAGAACGCGGAAGCAGUAGGAUAUAAACCCCUCCACUCUGCCAGCACAAUAAACGCAAAUAACUAAUAAACGUGUUCUUCUGACCUCCUGACUGCA
Numida meleagris (helmeted guineafowl) is the source of this 426-nucleotide long non-coding RNA. RefSeq lists it as uncharacterized. Lineage: Eukaryota; Metazoa; Chordata; Aves; Galliformes; Numididae. The transcript has 2 exons. The record is from RefSeq and is a predicted model, not a curated record.